Molecule: ribosomal RNA, 164 nt
Filed under: uncultured bacterium
Lineage: Bacteria
Description: partial 16S ribosomal RNA
Rfam family: Bacterial small subunit ribosomal RNA
Source: RNAcentral
CGACUGGGCGAAGCCUGAUCCAGCCAUGCCGCGUGUGUGAAGAAGGUCUUCUGAUUGUAAAGCUGUUUUUGUUGGGAGGAAGGGCAUUAUCCUAGUACGUUACUGAUUGGACGUUACGAACAGAGUACGCACCGGUUAACUCUGUGCCACCCGCCGCUGUAAUA